RNAcentral lists this non-coding RNA (70 nucleotides) under Oceanidesulfovibrio indonesiensis. Lineage: Bacteria; Pseudomonadati; Thermodesulfobacteriota; Desulfovibrionia; Desulfovibrionales; Desulfovibrionaceae. The record is from RNAcentral.
AAGCGAAACUGCCAGAGCGAGUCUGGUAGUCGUCGGGAGGUGGCGCUCCCGGCCCGAUGAGCAGCCACAA